GCUCGCAUAGCUCAGAGGUAGAGCACUUCAUUGGUAAUGAAGAGGUCCCCGGUUCAAAUCCGGGUGUGAGCACCA
This 75-nucleotide transfer RNA is filed under the name Pseudomonadales bacterium. Its description in RNAcentral is "tRNA-Thr". It matches the Rfam family "tRNA". From Rfam's summary of the family: Transfer RNA (tRNA) molecules are approximately 80 nucleotides in length. Their secondary structure includes four short double-helical elements and three loops (D, anti-codon, and T loops). The record is from RNAcentral. Lineage: Bacteria; Pseudomonadati; Pseudomonadota; Gammaproteobacteria; Pseudomonadales.